Physcomitrium patens is the source of this 1715-nucleotide non-coding RNA. The record is from RefSeq and is a predicted model, not a curated record. Lineage: Eukaryota; Viridiplantae; Streptophyta; Bryopsida; Funariales; Funariaceae.
AAAGUAGAAGAUGAGAUUCUUAUGCAUAUAAAGAUUCCACUUGUUUUUGAAUUGUUAAAUCUUCUUUGAAGUGCGAAAUCUUAUGUACCAUGUGUAAUAUCAGUAAUCCAGUAGCAGUAAACAGCAAGGGCACUAAUCCAGUUUCAACAUCCUUCAAUCCUACACCAGCUACAACCACAUCAUUUUAUGAUCUUCAAUGGGUUUCUUGCACAUAACGAGUUUCUUUGAUGGGUUUAAAGUCCGUCUGCGGGAUUACAAACUCCCCGUCUUCGUCUUCGCUAUUCAGAGUUGGUGUAGCGGAUCGAUGAUGAGGCAUGUGGUCCUCGGGCAAUCGUGGAGAGUUGUACCCGAGGAAGGAUGAUAAAUCUGUUGAUUCAAUGUCCCAUGCCUGUGCGGUGGGAAAGAAAUCAUGGGAGAUAAUCUUGAGGAUUGAUGGAAGUAUCGUCCAUCGCAAUCCAUUAGUGUUCCUUGUUGUGUACACUCCUUGCUGUUGUUGAGUAAGGCUGUGAUUAUGCAGAGUGAGGAGCCCAACUUUGGUUGUGACCAUGUGUAUAGCCAGUGUGCGUCUUCGCCGACCCCGAGUGGAUUCACAUGUUUUUGUUUCAAGACAAUUUUACCCCGAAUGUGAAGCAUGGUCUAAUUAACCAUAUGGGUUCAAGCCGACGUUUGUGUCCAGGCUUUUUCCUCAAGGCCAUGUGACAGGGAGAAGGUUGCGGCGGUUUUGUUGAGGGGCCUUUUGUUUUGAUCAAUGCUUUGGGGAGGCCCUCUCUCUUCCUGUAAAAGGCGGGGAGUAUGACUGCGGAGGCAGUUGUGUCAUCUGGGAUUCGACUGGGAGCUAGAGCCGACCAAAAACUGUUUUUAUGCACACUCUAGGGCCUGAGAGCGGUGAAAGUGUCGGUGUCGUCAGCACAAAGGACUUUGCUGAAGUUCCCAAACGUUUUGCGCAAGAACUCAUGGGUUCUUAGGAAGGGAGGGAGCUCCCGUGUUUGGGCCCAAACUCCCAUCUUAAGGCUUGAUUUAUUAAGAGGGUGGUCAGUGUUGAAGUAUGGAGACCAACUACAGAAAGUGAUGUCAACCCUUCAAGCCAGCUUCCAUGAGAUGUCAACGUGCAUGUCCUCCCCUCUUCUUGUCUACACUGUAUUUCGAAAUAGUUAUUGGACCUAAUUGUCAGCUUGUGAAAUUACCUAUGAAGAUCCACAUGGAUAGUUUUCUGACACCCGGAGUGCCCCCAAAUAUGUGACAUAGAUCCAUGUAGUUUGUUAAGUUUUUUCAUUUUUUCUUAGUAAGAUUGGAGGCGGUUUGGUGCCAUGGUAAUCUGUAAGGGUGGGGAACGCUCCUCAUCGUUCAGUGAGCUGAGGGGGGCUGUGACGUUUGCUCGAUCCGUUGUUACAGCGACCUGUUGACUGCAGAGUGCGGGCUGGAGCUGCUGGGGAGCAGAAACCUGCUCUGGAAUACGAGGUACCUCCUCCGAGAGCUCGUAAGUUUCUACUUGACAAGAACUGUCCAUUCGACGGAAGAUGACAACAAGUGUAUUUAAAGAAUUUAUGCUUGAUUUAGAGAGGAAGAUGGUUGAUGUACAAAAAUAGAAGGUGUUACUAUUGGUUGAUGAUUUCUCAAACGUCCAAGUACCUCACAUAGAUGCACAAUUGAGAAUUGAGUUCCUACCUAUAAACACUAAGUAAAUUCCAACCUAUGGAAACAAAACUAUUCCAUCA